Molecule: ribosomal RNA, 499 nt
Filed under: uncultured Glomeromycotina
Lineage: Eukaryota; Fungi; Glomeromycota
Description: partial small subunit ribosomal RNA
Rfam family: Eukaryotic small subunit ribosomal RNA
Source: RNAcentral
CCAAUAGCGUAUAUUAAAGUUGUUGCAGUUAAAAAGCUCGUAGUUGAAUUUCGGGAUUAGUACGUUGGUCGUGCCUUAGGUACGUACUGGUGUUACUGGUUCCUACCUUCUGACGAACCAUCAUGUCAUUAAUUUGGUGUGGUGGGGAAUCAGGACUGUUACUUUGAAAAAAUUAGAGUGUUUAAAGCAGGCUCGCGCUUGAAUACAUUAGCAUGGAAUAAUGAAAUAGGACGUUGAUCCUAUUUUGUUGGUUUCUAGGAUUGACGUAAUGAUUAAUAGGGAUAGUUGGGGGCAUUAGUAUUCAAUUGUCAGAGGUGAAAUUCUUGGAUUUAUUGAAGACUAACUACUGCGAAAGCAUUUGCCAAGGAUGUUUUCAUUAAUCAAGAACGAAAGUUAGGGGAUCGAAGACGAUCAGAUACCGUCGUAGUCUUAACCAUAAACUAUGCCGACUAGGGAUCGGAUGAUGUUAAUUUUUUAAUGACUCAUUCGGCGCCUUACG